UGUUGAAAACACGUUCUCAAAGUAAACGUGUGGUGAUCUAUGUAGGUUUUGAUAAAUGCCAAACCAACCAACGAGGAUGGAACAUUAACAGUCAAGUACAAGAGAAACAGUGCAAGACCAAGAAUCGCAAAGAAGAUUAUUGUUGCGUUUAUUGUUGAGUCGUUUUAUUUUGUGAUCUUGAUUCAACAACAUAAUCUAAAUAUUGGCU
RNAcentral lists this long non-coding RNA (208 nucleotides) under Nicotiana benthamiana. RNAcentral's name for it is "long non-coding RNA (NBEN_LNC003369)". The record is from RNAcentral. Lineage: Eukaryota; Viridiplantae; Streptophyta; Magnoliopsida; Solanales; Solanaceae.